This is a non-coding RNA of Onychostoma macrolepis, 693 nucleotides long. Lineage: Eukaryota; Metazoa; Chordata; Actinopteri; Cypriniformes; Cyprinidae. The record is from the annotation of a RefSeq genome assembly.
CCUUGAUGAAAGAAACCAUGAUGAACAUGUUCCUUGAUAUAUCUUUGUCUCUAAUUAUGUUUACAGCUGCAUGUCUUGGUAAAACUGUUCUCCAGAUGCCUGAGGAUCUACUGAAGAAACAAGAUGAAUCUGCUGUGAUCACUUGUACUCACAACAUACAGAGCUAUGACCGAAUACUGUGGUACAAACAAAGUCAGGACUCAUUGGGCUUAAAGUUGAUGGGAAACCUUUAUUAUAAUAAUCCAAAUGAAGAGCCUGAAUUUAAAGGCAAGAUCAAACUGGAGGGAGAAGCACAGACAAACGGCAAUUUGACUAUCAACAGCCUCAGACUGAACGACAGCGCAGUGUAUUUCUGUGCAGCAUAUUACACAGUGCUCAGAAUCACCUCUGUCUGAUACAAAAACCACUUGUAAACAGCUUAUUUCUGUGACAAGUAUAUUUACAGUUCUGUGGGUUUUGAUUCAGUGCCAAUGCUGAACACAACACCUGUCUAGUCUUGCUUAAUGUGUUGCUUGUAGCAAGUGGCCAAUUGAAUUCACAUCCCGACUCAAGAAGUGAAAGGAAGAUAAUUCUUAAUUUCAGAAGUUUGCCCCACCCUGAGAUCACCUACCAUGAAAGUGAUGUCACAUCCUGUAUUAACAACUUAAAUUUGAAUCAUCACAGAAGAUUAUAAUUUAACCAAGACAGCUUCAA